Molecule: long non-coding RNA, 408 nt
Organism: Haliotis rubra (blacklip abalone)
Lineage: Eukaryota; Metazoa; Mollusca; Gastropoda; Lepetellida; Haliotidae
Exons: 3
Source: RefSeq, a predicted model, not a curated record
GAUAUCUCUUGGGACCAGUCAUUGCAAGCUUCAUUUAUGACGUCACACAAGUGUAUGAUUACACGUUCGUGUUCGGAGGUGCAUGUUUCUUGCUAAGUUCUAUGUCGACGGCAGGAAUAAGUCUUUUCCAAACAACGGUGAUUCCAGACAGAACAUUAUCGAUAUAACGGGAUACCGUUUUGUGAAUGAACACAUAAGAAAACCUGCGAUUUCCAACAUCCUUCACCAUGCAAUACAGUGAUAGCACACAUCGAAUUGAGGCAUGCUGUAUGUCUACCGGAAAACCAGGAUAUGCUGAUUGUCUUGUGAACACCUGGUGUCAUCACUGAUGAUCUUGUCCUACAAUUGUCACCCCCAUUUUCAAGCUCGAUAGAAUCUGUUUCCUCAGGUAAUAGGGACUGAUGUUUG